Long non-coding RNA from Physella acuta, 900 nucleotides. RefSeq lists it as uncharacterized. The record is from RefSeq and is a predicted model, not a curated record. Lineage: Eukaryota; Metazoa; Mollusca; Gastropoda; Physidae.
CUUCAAGUGCCUUCAGGGGUAAGAAGAGUUGUCAUGGAGAGAUGUGUUGUCCAUGGCAACCCUAGAAAACACCAAGCUGUAAGCCUGCCUAGCAACUUCCUCUCUAGGCAUAUCGCUACCACCUCCAUCCCCACAUGGUCUGCUCUAACUGUUUGAUCAAGUGGAUACCUCUGAUUAAUUUAAUAACUCUAGCAUUAAAGAACAUAGAAAAUGAGAGAGCAAGUAGGUCACUGUGACAUCUGUUCAAGAACAUUUUCAUCUUUUGAAAGAUUACAAAAACAUUGGAACAAAACGCACACAGAAGUGCAAGCCAUAAACUUGUUUUUGUGAUUUUAUAGUUGCAGAGGAGCCGUUGUUUGCUAAACAUAAAAAGGAAUUUCAUCCAAAUGAUCGAAUGGCGUGUGAGUUUUGUGCUUUUACCACCAGGAAAUGGAGUAAGCUGAAAAAACAUCACACGAUAGUUCAUAUGGCUUUGUAUAAAGAAAACAUUGCUACUGGUUUAAAAAAGGACAAUUUCAGAGAGGAAACCAUGACAUCUUCAUGUACCCAUCAGAUCACAAACUUCACCAAAUUGUGGAAACUUUAAUGUCCAAUGCUCAAUAUUGAAGGAGAAAAUUUUUUUAUCAUCAACUAAUGAAAUGACAGCUGAACUUUACCACAAUAAAUUCAAAUCAUGUGACAAAUUACAGUUACAUCAUGAAAAUUAAACAGCUGCACCUCAAAAGUUACAGACUUUAACUGGGCAAAAAUGUGAAUGUGCUCUGGAGAAUUGUACAACUUGUCAACUAUACCAUAAAGAUAAACAGAGAGGCAGUGAUCCUCCAACUGAGAUUUCUGUGUGUGACAUUUGCCAAAAAAGUUUUAAAUCCUUAUCUCAUUUGGCUUCUCAUAAAAUUGUAC